Molecule: transfer RNA, 94 nt
Filed under: Planotetraspora thailandica
Lineage: Bacteria; Bacillati; Actinomycetota; Actinomycetes; Streptosporangiales; Streptosporangiaceae
Description: tRNA-Ala
Source: RNAcentral
UCGACCUGCUGGGCGGGCCCGUGGCCAAGGCGAUCUCGCAGGCCGCCGCGGCCUCCCCGCCGUGGCCGCCGAUCGGCGUCGCGGAGAUCGACCC